CUGGUUGAAAGAAUGAUAAAAUCACUGUUUAAUCCUCUGUAAAGUUUUGAUUAAUGGAUAAAGGAUUUAUGAGGCUAGUUGUAAGCUGCAGCCAAUCUGGUGUGCUUUGUUUGUCUUUCUGUUUGGUUCUGUUAUGAAGAGGAGUACCUUAGGAUGGACUGUGGGCCUAGUACUCUAUAAACCCACUGUUCAAGCCAGCCCAGCAAACUGGACACAAUUUGAGAAACUGGUUGUUUUGCCAAGGCUUUGACUGGAAGGACGUGCUUCUCUUUAAGGAAUCAAGCUUGACUUGCAGAGCCAAUAAAAGCCCCUUGGGAAAACUGGCCUCAUACCUUGUCUACACAGUUCGUGUACAGGGUUCUUAACCUGUGACUAACCCUGCUUGUACCUGUGAACCAACCAGCGAUCUCUGGCUGAAGCUCAGAAGAAACAAAUGUAGAGACGAGGUUUCACCGUGUUGGCUAGGAUGGUCUCGAUCUCCUCACCUCGUGAUCCGCCUGCCUCGGCCUCCCAAAGUGCUGGGAUUACAGGCGUGAGCCACCGUGCCCGGCCUCUUCCAGGUACUCUUAAAGCAACCUCAGGAGGAGCUCUAAUGGCUUUCUCCAAACAGCGCCCCCUGUCAGCAGGACACAGUUAAGAGUGGACAUCGUUCACUUUCCCCAACAGCAGUUGGGGUCUUCACUCCUGAAUGGGGGAAGGAAAGGAGUUAGCCAGCUUCCUUUAGACAGAAAGUAAGAGAAGGGUCCUCAAGGAACCUCCGACCUGCCCCACAAGUGUUUACACCAGAUGUUUUGUGCAGAUAAGGGAACUUGCACAGGGGGCUUGUUUAAACAUGCCCUCAGUGGAAAAUUCUGUUCCUUAACACAUACAUACACAGUUAGAGAAAUAAAUCAAUAUGGAGUGGCUCAGUCUAAGGGCUCACAUGUGCACUGGAAGGAUGGGGUGGAGCUGCCAGGAAUUCACUCACACCUUAAGCCCUAGCCCUGGUAUUCAACUGUGAAGGGGACAACUGGAAACCUGCUUUCAGGACCUCUCCCUUUGCUGAGAGCUUUCCUUUCGCUUAAUAAAUUCUACUCCAUUCACUCUUUGGUGUCCAUGUGCCUAAUUCUUCCCGGUCUUGAGGCAAUAACCUGGACCUAGCUGAGAUAAGGAGCAAAAAUCCUGCAACACUAUGACAUACAGAGGUAUCAAACUUGCACCUGUACCCUCUGAAUCUUAAAUAAAAGUUUAAAAAAUUUAAAAAUAAUAAAUUAAGUAAUUAAAUAUGCA
This 1269-nucleotide long non-coding RNA is filed under the name Homo sapiens (human). RNAcentral describes it as "HSALNT0097221". The record is from RNAcentral. Lineage: Eukaryota; Metazoa; Chordata; Mammalia; Primates; Hominidae.